This 477-nucleotide ribosomal RNA is filed under the name Pseudomonas aeruginosa. RNAcentral's name for it is "bacterial SSU rRNA". It matches the Rfam family "Bacterial small subunit ribosomal RNA", at positions 42 to 518 of the family's 1533-position model. The record is from RNAcentral. Lineage: Bacteria; Pseudomonadati; Pseudomonadota; Gammaproteobacteria; Pseudomonadales; Pseudomonadaceae.
GCGGCCUACCAUGCAGUCGAGCGGAUGAAGGGAGCUUGCUCCUGGAUUCAGCGGCGGACGGGUGAGUAAUGCCUAGGAAUCUGCCUGGUAGUGGGGGAUAACGUCCGGAAACGGGCGCUAAUACCGCAUACGUCCUGAGGGAGAAAGUGGGGGAUCUUCGGACCUCACGCUAUCAGAUGAGCCUAGGUCGGAUUAGCUAGUUGGUGGGGUAAAGGCCUACCAAGGCGACGAUCCGUAACUGGUCUGAGAGGAUGAUCAGUCACACUGGAACUGAGACACGGUCCAGACUCCUACGGGAGGCAGCAGUGGGGAAUAUUGGACAAUGGGCGAAAGCCUGAUCCAGCCAUGCCGCGUGUGUGAAGAAGGUCUUCGGAUUGUAAAGCACUUUAAGUUGGGAGGAAGGGCAGUAAGUUAAUACCUUGCUGUUUUGACGUUACCAACAGAAUAAGCACCGGCUAACUUCGUGCCAGCAGCCGC